UACGAAGGGGGCUAGCGUUGCUCGGAAUCACUGGGCGUAAAGCGCACGUAGGCGGCUUCUUAAGUCAGGGGUGAAAUCCUGGAGCUCAACUCCAGAACUGCCCUUGAUACUGAGGAGCUCGAGUCCGGAAGAGGUGAGUGGAACUGCGAGUGUAGAGGUGAAAUUCGUAGAUAUUCGCAAGAACACCAGUGGCGAAGGCGAGUCUCUGGACAUUUCCUGACGCUGAGGCACGAAAGCCAGGGGAGCAAACGGG
This 253-nucleotide ribosomal RNA is filed under the name uncultured bacterium. Its description in RNAcentral is "partial 16S ribosomal RNA". It matches the Rfam family "Bacterial small subunit ribosomal RNA", at positions 524 to 776 of the family's 1533-position model. The record is from RNAcentral.